RNAcentral lists this small nuclear RNA (129 nucleotides) under Campanile symbolicum. Its description in RNAcentral is "partial U2 snRNA". It matches the Rfam family "U2 spliceosomal RNA", at positions 27 to 155 of the family's 192-position model. Rfam says of the family: U2 is a small nuclear RNA (snRNA) component of the spliceosome (involved in pre-mRNA splicing). Complementary binding between U2 snRNA (in an area lying towards the 5' end but 3' to hairpin I) and the branchpoint sequence (BPS) of the intron results the bulging out of an unpaired adenosine, on the BPS, which initiates a nucleophilic attack at the intronic 5' splice site, thus starting the first of two transesterification reactions that mediate splicing. The record is from RNAcentral. Lineage: Eukaryota; Metazoa; Mollusca; Gastropoda; Campanilidae.
CAAAGUGUAGUAUCUGUUCUUAUCAGCUUAAUAUCUGAUACGCUCCCCAAUGGGGAGCUUCGAUAUUAAACUGAUUUUUGACACUUGACGGAGUGUUAGGGGCUUGCUCCACCUCUGUCACGGGUUGGC